This 253-nucleotide ribosomal RNA is filed under the name uncultured bacterium. RNAcentral describes it as "partial 16S ribosomal RNA". It matches the Rfam family "Bacterial small subunit ribosomal RNA", at positions 524 to 776 of the family's 1533-position model. The record is from RNAcentral.
UACGUAGGGGGCAAGCGUUGUCCGGAAUCAUUGGGCGUAAAGAGCGUGUAGGCGGCUCGAUAAGUCUGCUGUGAAAGUCCAGGGCUCAACCCUGGAAGGCCGGUGGAAACUGUCGGGCUAGAGUCCGGAAGAGGCGAGUGGAAUUCCCGGUGUAGCGGUGAAAUGCGCAGAUAUCAGGAAGAACACCAAUGGCGAAGGCAGCUCUCUGGGACGGUACUGACGCUGAGACGCGAAAGCGUGGGGAGCGAACAGA